Molecule: unclassified non-coding RNA, 220 nt
Filed under: soil metagenome
Description: partial contains 5.8S ribosomal RNA, internal transcribed spacer 2, and large subunit ribosomal RNA
Source: RNAcentral
AACAAGGCGUACCUGCGGACCUGCGGAGGGAUCAUUACCAGAGUGCCUUCAGGCUCUCCAACCCACUGUGAACAUACCUACGUUCCCCCGGCGGGCCCAGCGCGCGGCGGCUCCGGCCGCCCGCGUCCGCCGAGGGCAUCUCAAACCCGAAUUUAUUCGUGUCUUCUGAGGGGCGAAAGCCCGUAAAACAAAAUGAAUCAAAACUUUCAGCAACGGAUCU